CCUGCCCGACACCGGGCGGCCAUCAGCCGCUGCACAUGCGCGCUGCGAGGGCUGUGAUGAUGACGGGGUCUGUCAGCGCGGCGCUGGGGGUGCUUCACGCCUUGCUGCUUCCGUCCCCUGCCCCCGUCAGUGGUUUGGAGCCACCCGUCUCUGUGUCCCAGAGCAACACCAGCGCUGUUUGUGCUGGUCCUCUCCGCCGUGAAUUGCAGCGCCCGCAGUGACUUGCAUUCUCGGGCUAUCGAGAAUCGUUAGAGCCUCUUGUUCCGGGAAAUAGUGCAAAAUCAAAACCACCUGGAGUGAUGAUCACAGACAGAUGAUCUUAUCCUUCUUUCAACUGCAGAAUCUAAUAGAGCAACCCUAAUGGAUUUUUAAGCGCAGCCAUCCCCUUCUGGGCCCAGUCUGUGAACCAGUCCAGCCUUGGUUGCAGCCAGCCAAUACUCCUUCCCCAGAGAAUGGUUCCAGAAUAUGCCGGAGAGAAAAGAGUGAGAGCCUAUACAAUGGCCUGCCAGGCACAUACAUCCAUAUUCUGGCUCCAGCCCCACCACCUUUCCCUUCCCACCCUUUGCUGUCAGCAGUCAGCUCUUGCACAGGAGCUGUCACUCCACGUUGCCAAUCCGUGAAGCUGCUGCUGUGCAUUUUCCACUUCUCAGCCUGGGGAACAGCAAGGGCAGCCAACAGAAGCAGGGUUUGUGCACAUGUUCUUCCAUGCGGUGCCCCUUGUCACUUUUCCUGCAACAUCUGUGAAUUCAGCUACAGACAGAAUAUGAACGGGAUGUGGAAACCAAAGGCAAAAUCCUGACCUUAGUGAGGUUAAGAGGAAGAUCCCUGACUGACUUCCCAAAGCUCUGGAGGUCACCCUCAUUGCCCAAGUGGGAAUGACGCGAAGGAGUACUUGAUUCUCUUCUUGAGCUUUCAAGAAUUUUAGCAACGUAAAAAGAGUGAAAACACAGCACAGCACAUAAAAUGUAUAAAUAUAU
This 977-nucleotide long non-coding RNA is filed under the name Anser brachyrhynchus (Pink-footed goose). RNAcentral's name for it is "lncRNA (ENSABRG00000002353.1)". The record is from RNAcentral. Lineage: Eukaryota; Metazoa; Chordata; Aves; Anseriformes; Anatidae.